UAGGGAAUCUUCCGCAAUGGGCGAAAGCCUGACGGAGCAACGCCGCGUGAGUGAUGAAGGUCUUCGGAUCGUAAAACUCUGUUAUUAGGGAAGAACAAAUGUGUAAGUAACUAUGCACGUCUUGACGGUACCUAAUCAGAAAGCCACGGCUAACUACGUGCCAGCAGCCGCGGUAAUACGUAGGUGGCAAGCGUUAUCCGGAAUUAUUGGGCGUAAAGCGCGCGUAGGCGGUUUUUUAAGUCUGAUGUGAAAGCCCACGGCUCAACCGUGGAGGGUCAUUGGAAACUGGAAAACUUGAGUGCAGAAGAGGAAAGUGGAAUUCCAUGUGUAGCAGUGAAAUGCGCAGAGAUAUGGAGGAACACCAGUGGCGAAGGCGACUUUCUGGUCUGUAACUGACGCUGAUGUGAGAAAGCGUGGGGAGCAAACAGG
RNAcentral lists this ribosomal RNA (429 nucleotides) under Actinomycetes bacterium. RNAcentral's name for it is "Actinobacteria bacterium partial 16S ribosomal RNA". It matches the Rfam family "Bacterial small subunit ribosomal RNA", at positions 355 to 776 of the family's 1533-position model. Lineage: Bacteria; Bacillati; Actinomycetota; Actinomycetes. The record is from RNAcentral.